This 332-nucleotide ribosomal RNA is filed under the name uncultured bacterium. RNAcentral's name for it is "partial 16S ribosomal RNA". It matches the Rfam family "Bacterial small subunit ribosomal RNA", at positions 338 to 668 of the family's 1533-position model. The record is from RNAcentral.
CCUACGGGGUGCAGCAGUGAGGAAUAUUGGUCAAUGGCCGGAAGGCUGAACCAGCCAAGCCGCGUGAAGGACGAAGGUGCCAAGCAUUGUAAACUUCUUUUGUCAAGGGACAAAAUCAGGCUCGAGAGCCUGACCGAAGGUACUUGAAGAAAAAGCAUCGGCUAACUCCGUGCCAGCAGCCGCGGUAAUACGGAGGAUAGGAGGGUUAUCCGGAUUUAUUGGGUUGAAAGGGUGAGUAGGCGGGCUGUUAAGUCAGCGGUAAAAGGCCGGGGCUCAACCCCGGCGAGCCGUUGAAAAUGGCUGUCUUGAGAUGUCGAGAGGUAUGCGGAAUG